GACGAACGCUGGCGGCGUGCUUAACACAUGCAAGUCGAACGGAAAGGCCCUGCUUUUGUGGGGUGCUCGAGUGGCGAACGGGUGAGUAACACGUGAGUAACCUGCCCUUGACUUUGGGAUAACUUCAGGAAACUGGGGCUAAUACCGGAUAGGAGCUCCUGCUGCAUGGUGGGGGUUGGAAAGUUUCGGCGGUUGGGGAUGGACUCGCGGCUUAUCAGCUUGUUGGUGGGGUAGUGGCUUACCAAGGCUUUGACGGGUAGCCGGCCUGAGAGGGUGACCGGCCACAAUGGGACUGAGGUACGGCCCAGACUCCAACGGGAGGCAGCAGUGGGGAAUAUUGCACAAUGGGCGGAAGCCUGAUGCAGCAACGCCGCGUGCGGGAUGACGGCCUUCGGGGUGUAAACCGCUUUCGCCUGUGACGAAGCGUGAGUGACGGUAAUGGGUAAAGAAGCACCGGCUAACUACGUG
This 468-nucleotide ribosomal RNA is filed under the name uncultured bacterium. Its description in RNAcentral is "partial 16S ribosomal RNA". It matches the Rfam family "Bacterial small subunit ribosomal RNA", at positions 28 to 507 of the family's 1533-position model. The record is from RNAcentral.